GUGUCAGCAGCCGCGGUAAUACGGAGGGUGCUAGCGUUGUUCGGAAUUACUGGGCGUAAAGCGCACGUAGGCGGUUUACCAAGUUGGGAGUGAAAUCCCAGGGCUCAACCCUGGAAUUGCUCUCAAAACUGGUAGGCUAGAGUAAGGUAGAGGAUAGUGGAAUCCCUAGUGUAGAGGUGAAAUUCGUAGAUAUUAGGAGGAACACCAGCGGCGAAGGCGACUAUCUGGGCCUUUACUGACGCUAAGGUGCGAAAGCGUGGGGAGCAAACAGGAUUAGAUACCCUGGUAGUCCACGCCGUAAACGAUGAGUGCUAGUCGUCGGGACCUUGAGUUUCGGUGACGAAGCUAACGCGUUAAGCACUCCGCCUGGGGAGUACGGCCGCAAGGCUAAAACUCAAAUGAAUUGACGGGG
This 412-nucleotide ribosomal RNA is filed under the name uncultured prokaryote. RNAcentral describes it as "bacterial SSU rRNA". It matches the Rfam family "Bacterial small subunit ribosomal RNA", at positions 505 to 918 of the family's 1533-position model. The record is from RNAcentral.